RNAcentral lists this RNase P RNA (344 nucleotides) under Bacillota bacterium. RNAcentral describes it as "RNase P RNA component class A". It matches the Rfam family "Bacterial RNase P class A". From Rfam's summary of the family: Ribonuclease P (RNase P) is a ubiquitous endoribonuclease, found in archaea, bacteria and eukarya as well as chloroplasts and mitochondria. Its best characterised activity is the generation of mature 5'-ends of tRNAs by cleaving the 5'-leader elements of precursor-tRNAs. Cellular RNase Ps are ribonucleoproteins. RNAcentral also lists the same sequence under 3 other names. The record is from RNAcentral. Lineage: Bacteria; Bacillati; Bacillota.
CGAGUCGAACGGAUGGUCGCGGCGUUGUACCGAAAGGUCUUCGUCGAGGAAAGUCCGGGCUCUUAGGGCAGGAUGCCGGUUAACGGCCGGUGAAGGUGACUUCAAGGAUAGUGCAACAGAAAUAGACAGCCGAGCACACGCUCGGUUAAGGUGGAAAGGUGAGGUAAGAGCUCACCGGCACCAUGGAGACAUGGUGGCCCUGCAAACCCCAUUCGGAGCAACGCCGUGGAGGAACGAGACUGUCGCCCGCAGGUUCCAUGGAGGCGGCUAGAACUUCUCGGCAACGAGAGGUCCAGAUAGAUGACCAUUCAAGACAGAACCCGGCUUAUAGAUCGACUCGGCGC